AGAAAAGGGAAAGUAACAGAGACGUGACCGAUCACCCAAGCGGCUAACGAGCCAAUCAGUGGUGAAGAGGAUAAAAGUAAAAUAAGUUAAAUGUGCCUUGAUUAGUGACUCGGUUCAGCUGUGAUCUGGUCUUCAACCCCAUCCCUCACUACCCGUUACCUUUUAUGUAGGCCAACAAUUUUUUUUCUUCACUUUCCAGACGGUGAAAGUCCCAACUGAACAGCAGGAAAAGGAAGACAACGAGAAUGACUCACAGAGCCAAAGUCAUGAAUCUGAUGACGUCAUCUACCAGGUCAUCCCUCGCCAAGCACAGGGAGGCACCUAGACAUGGUAUGACAGACAAAGCAGUAUGGCAGAAGAGUUUUCUACACCCAACAUGCAGCCCCUUAAUACCAAUGUGCUCUUGUGCAGGGCUUCUUCCUGGAAGGUGCACGCUGGGAUCGUGAACAACAUUGCUUGGCGGAGAUGUCAGCCAAGCAGCUACAUGACCAGUUACCUAUCAUCCUUUUCCAACCUGCUGCCCUCCCAGACAUGUCACACCAUGAGGGUAUGUGCCCCCAACACACCUUCUCUUUACUCAUUCCUUUACCUUGCCCUACAUGUUCAAUUUAAUUUUCUUUAUCACUGAGUCAGACCAGGUAUUCUCAUCAAGGUGAUUUAACCAUAUCAUUGGUUAAGAUUUUAUGGGUACCUGAAAAUUGCUCCAUGUCAAAAGUAAUGAUAUGUCAGAAUACUAUUUACAAAAUGAAAUUUGGUUUAUGUACUUUAUAAUAAAACCUAGAUUUCAAACUAUUUGAAACUAUUGAAUGGAUAUAACCUAGAAUACAGUAGACAAUUUUUUUCUGCAAAUUGUUAAAUGACUGGAUUAUUUUUAUACACCAGUUAUUCCUGUUCUCAGUGGAUUUAAAUGUAAAUUAAGUGGUAUACGUAUAUGUUUUAGUUUAUAUCGGCAAAUAUAUCUUGGUGACAACUUUA
This is a long non-coding RNA of Homarus americanus (American lobster), 975 nucleotides long. RefSeq lists it as uncharacterized. NCBI's taxonomy places the organism in Eukaryota, Metazoa, Arthropoda, Malacostraca, Decapoda, Nephropidae. The transcript has 2 exons. The record is from RefSeq and is a predicted model, not a curated record.